AGUGAACGCUGGCGGUAGGCCUAACACAUGCAAGUCGAACGGCAGCACAGUAAGAGCUUGCUCUUACGGGUGGCGAGUGGCGGACGGGUGAGGAAUACAUCGGCAUCUACUUUUUCGUGGGGGAUAACGUAGGGAAACUUACGCUAAUACCGCAUACGACCUACGGGUGAAAGCAGGGGAUCUUCGGACCUUGCGCGAUUGAAUGAGCCGAUGUCGGAUUAGCUAGUUGGCGGGGUAAAGGCCCACCAAGGCGACGAUCCGUAGCUGGUCUGAGAGGAUGAUCAGCCAAACUGGAACUGAGACACGGUCCAGACUCCUACGGGAGGCAGCAGUGGGGAAUAUUGGACAAUGGGCGCAAGCCUGAUCCAGCCAUACCGCGUGGGUGAAGAAGGCCUUCGGGUUGUAAAGCCCUUUUGUUGGGAAAGAAAAGCAGCAGGUUAAUACCCCGCUGUUCUGACGGUACCCAAAGAAUAAGCACCGGCUAACUUCGU
Molecule: ribosomal RNA, 491 nt
Filed under: uncultured bacterium
Lineage: Bacteria
Description: partial 16S ribosomal RNA
Rfam family: Bacterial small subunit ribosomal RNA
Source: RNAcentral